GGCAGCACAGUAAGAGCUUGCUCUUAUGGGUGGCGAGUGGCGGACGGGUGAGGAAUACAUCGGAAUCUACUUUUUCGUGGGGGAUAACGUAGGGAAACUUACGCUAAUACCGCAUACGACCUUCGGGUGAAAGCAGGGGAUCUUCGGGCCUUGCGCGGAUAGAUGAGCCGAUGUCGGAUUAGCUAGUUGGCGGGGUAAAGGCCCACCAAGGCGACGAUCCGUAGCUGGUCUGAGAGGAUGAUCAGCCACACUGGAACUGAGACACGGUCCAGACUCCUACGGGAGGGAGCAGUGGGGAAUAUUGGAAAAUGGGCGCAAGCCUGAUCCAGCCAUACCGCGUGGGUGAAGAAGGCCUUCGGGUUGUAAAGCCCUUUUGUUGGGAAAGAAAUGCAGCCAGUUAAUACCCGGUUGUGCUGACGGUACCCAAAGAAUAAGCACCGGCUAACUUCGUGCCAGCAGCCGCGGUAAUACGAAGGGUGCAAGCGUUACUCGGAAUUAC
RNAcentral lists this ribosomal RNA (499 nucleotides) under Stenotrophomonas sp. LR60. Its description in RNAcentral is "bacterial SSU rRNA". It matches the Rfam family "Bacterial small subunit ribosomal RNA", at positions 65 to 554 of the family's 1533-position model. Lineage: Bacteria; Pseudomonadati; Pseudomonadota; Gammaproteobacteria; Lysobacterales; Lysobacteraceae. The record is from RNAcentral.